AUACGAAGGGUGCAAGCGUUAAUCGGAAUUACUGGGCGUAAAGCGCGCGUAGGUGGUUCGUUAAGUUGGAUGUGAAAGCCCCGGGCUCAACCUGGGAACUGCAUCCAAAACUGGCGAGCUAGAGUAUGGCAGAGGGUGGUGGAAUUUCCUGUGUAGCGGUGAAAUGCGUAGAUAUAGGAAGGAACACCAGUGGCGAAGGCGACCCCCUGGGCAAAUCCUGACAUUAAGUUGCGAAAGCGUGGGAGCAAAAAGGAUUAGAUACCCGGGUAGUCCACGCCGUAAACGAUGUCGACUAGCCGUUGGGAUCCUUGAGAUCUUAGUGGCGCAGCUAACGCAUUAAGUCGACCGCCUGGGGAGUACGGCCGCAAGGUUAAAACUCAAAUGAAUUGACGGGG
RNAcentral lists this ribosomal RNA (395 nucleotides) under uncultured bacterium. Its description in RNAcentral is "partial 16S ribosomal RNA". It matches the Rfam family "Bacterial small subunit ribosomal RNA", at positions 523 to 918 of the family's 1533-position model. The record is from RNAcentral.